CACGGGGGGAGCAAGCGUUGUUCGGAUUCAUUGGGCGUAAAGGGCUCGUAGGCCGCUCUGUAAGUCGGGAGUGAAAGACCACGGCUCAACCGUGGAAACGCUUUGGAAACUGUGGAGCUUGAGGCCGGGAGAGGAGAUUGGAAUUCCUGGUGUAGCGGUGAAAUGCGUAGAUAUCAGGAGGAACACCCGUGGCGAAGGCGAAUCUCUGGACCGGUUCUGACGCUGAUGAGCGAAAGCUAGGGGAGCAAACAGG
Molecule: ribosomal RNA, 253 nt
Filed under: uncultured prokaryote
Description: partial 16S ribosomal RNA
Rfam family: Bacterial small subunit ribosomal RNA
Source: RNAcentral